CUACGGGAGGCAGCAGUGGGGAAUAUUGGGCAAUGGGCGCAAGCCUGACCCAGCGACGCCGCGUGGGGGAAGAAGUCUUUCGGGACGUAAACCCAUGUUGUACGGGACGAAGGAAGUGACGGUACCGUACGAGGAAGCCCCGGCAAACUACGUGCCAGCAGCCGCGGUAAUACGUAGGGGGCGAGCGUUGUCCGGAAUCACUGGGCGUAAAGCGUACGUAGGCGGGCUGUUAAGUCGGCCGUGAAAUACACUGGCUCAACCGGUGCAGGUCGGUCGAUACUGGCGGUCUGGAGUAUGGGAGAGGGAACUGGAAUUCCCGGUGUAGCAGUGAAAUGCGUAGAUAUCGGGAGGAACACCAGUGGCGAAGGCGGGUUCCUGGCCCAUGACUGACGCUGAGGUGCGAAAGCCGGGGGAGCGAACGGGAUUAGAAACCCUUGUAGUCC
Molecule: ribosomal RNA, 443 nt
Filed under: uncultured bacterium
Lineage: Bacteria
Description: bacterial SSU rRNA
Rfam family: Bacterial small subunit ribosomal RNA
Source: RNAcentral